This 97-nucleotide ribosomal RNA is filed under the name Terminalia pulcherrima. Its description in RNAcentral is "partial 18S ribosomal RNA". Lineage: Eukaryota; Viridiplantae; Streptophyta; Magnoliopsida; Myrtales; Combretaceae. The record is from RNAcentral.
CGGUGAAGUGUUCGGAUCGCGGCGAUGUGGUCGGUCCGCCGCCGACGACGUCGCAAGAAGUCCACUGAACCUUAUCAUUUAGAGGAAGGAGAAGUCG